Molecule: unclassified non-coding RNA, 260 nt
Filed under: Hevea brasiliensis (rubber tree)
Lineage: Eukaryota; Viridiplantae; Streptophyta; Magnoliopsida; Malpighiales; Euphorbiaceae
Source: RNAcentral
UUCCGUAUUCGCGGGCGAUUUUUGCGGCAAGCGGGCUGGUCAACGGGUUUUCCUUCCUGGCGGCGCGUGAAUCGAAUGUUCUUAUCGUGAUCCCGAUGAUUUCAACUUUGCCUGUAUCAGCAGCAGUUUCACAAGAGAUUGAUCCGGUUCAGAAACCUUGGUUGUCCAAAUUCACCCUUAUUCCGGUCCGAUGAUGGGGAACUGUUGUCGCUCCUGCGAAGUUGUGCAGGCGAUCCGGAUUUCCGUCCCCGCUCGCUUCU